This 228-nucleotide unclassified non-coding RNA is filed under the name Hevea brasiliensis (rubber tree). Lineage: Eukaryota; Viridiplantae; Streptophyta; Magnoliopsida; Malpighiales; Euphorbiaceae. The record is from RNAcentral.
GAGGCGUCUACGAGGCGGGCGACCAGCGCAACCUGAAGAACUCGGAGAUCCAGCAGAUGCAGGCUGAGAACCGCUUCCACGAGGGCAAGCAGAACAGCCACCUUGCUCAGGACAGCAAGGACGAGCGUUCCAUCGCCAACAAGCUCGAGCGCGAGGAGAAGCGCGAGCACGAGGCGGAACAGGAGAACGAGGAGACGCGCGCAUCCAAGAUCGACUCGACACUCCCCG